This 433-nucleotide ribosomal RNA is filed under the name uncultured bacterium. Its description in RNAcentral is "partial 16S ribosomal RNA". It matches the Rfam family "Bacterial small subunit ribosomal RNA", at positions 29 to 507 of the family's 1533-position model. The record is from RNAcentral.
AACGAACGCUGGCGGCAUGCCUAACACAUGCAAGUCGAACGAGACCUUCGGGUCUAGUGGCGCACGGGUGCGUAACGCGGGGUAACCUGCACUUAGGUUCGGUAUAACUCCCCGAAAGGGGUGCUAAUACCGGAUAAUGUCUUCGGACCAAAGAUUUAUCGCCUUUGGAUGGGCCCGCGUUGGAUUAGCUAGUUGGUAGGGUAAAAGCCUACCAAGGCGACGAUGCAUAGCUGGUCUGAGAGGAUGAUCAGCCACACUGGGACUGAGACACGGCCCAGACUCCUACGGGAGGCAGCGGUGGGGAGUAUUAGACACUGGGCGCAAGCCUGAUCCAGCAGUGCCGCGUGAGUGAUGAAGGCCUUAGGGUUGUAAAGCUCUUUUACCCGGGAUGAUAAUGACGGUACCGGGAGAAUAAGCACCGGCUAACUCCGUG